Molecule: ribosomal RNA, 274 nt
Filed under: uncultured bacterium
Lineage: Bacteria
Description: partial 16S ribosomal RNA
Rfam family: Bacterial small subunit ribosomal RNA
Source: RNAcentral
AUACGGAGGGUGCAAGCGUUAUCCGGAAUCACUGGGUUUAAAGGGUGCGUAGGCGGCAUGAUAAGUCAGAGGUGAAAGCCCUCAGCUUAACUGAGGAAUUGCCUUUGAUACUGUUGUGCUUGAAAGGGGAUGAGGUGAGCGGAAUGUGACAUGUAACGGUGAAAUGUGUAGAUAUGCCAUAGAACACCGAUUGCGAAGGCAGCUCACUAAACUAUUACUGACGCUCAGGGACGAAAGCGUGGGGAGCGAACAGGAUUAGAUACCCUAGUAGUCC